AUUGAACGCUGGCGGCAUGCCUUACACAUGCAAGUCGAACGGUAACGGGCCUUCGGGUGCCGACGAGUGGCGAACGGGUGGGUAAGACAUCGGCACGUGCCCGAUCGUGGGGGCUGACGAAGCGAAAGCAUUGCUAAUACCGCAUACGAUCUACGGAUGAAAGCCGUGGACCGCAAGGCCUUGUGCGGACGGAGCGGCCUAUGGCGGAGUAGGAAGUUGGUGUGAUUAAGGCCUACAAAGUCGACGAUCGGUAGCUGGGCUGGGAGUAUGAUCAGCCACACUAGGACUGAGACACGGUCCAGACUCCUACGGGAGGCAGCAGUGGGGAACUUUGGGCAAUGGGCGAAAGCCUGACCCAGCCAUGCCGCGUGCAGGAUGAAGGCCUUCGGAUUGUAAACUGCUUUUGUAAGGAACGAACAGCUUUCUAAUAAUACAGGAAGGUCAUGACGGUACCGUAAAAAAAAGCACCGGCUAACUACGUG
Molecule: ribosomal RNA, 482 nt
Filed under: uncultured bacterium
Lineage: Bacteria
Description: partial 16S ribosomal RNA
Rfam family: Bacterial small subunit ribosomal RNA
Source: RNAcentral